Molecule: long non-coding RNA, 607 nt
Organism: Silurus meridionalis
Lineage: Eukaryota; Metazoa; Chordata; Actinopteri; Siluriformes; Siluridae
Exons: 3
Source: RefSeq, a predicted model, not a curated record
GAGGUGUGUGUGGUUUGGUGUGAGUCAGACUGAGACUCAUCCUGAUUUUUUAAUGCUCGGUGCUGAUGCUAAUCAUUACGGCCCCCUGAGGGCCUGGAAUUCAGCAUGGAGUCGGAGCUCAGAGAACAGGAGCAGCACCGAGACCCGAGACCCGAGACCUGAGCGCCACACGCCUGUUUACACCCUCACACCCUCACUCCCUCACUCCACUAAUCUACAGAGCCAACAGGAAGUCAAAGGAAAGAAGUUGCUAAGGCGUGCAGUCGAUUCUAAAGAACUUACCUUCGUAUCUGGGAUGAACUCGUGGUGCAUGAGCUCCAAACUUGAUAAGGAUGGGAAUGUCGUAAUCCUGACGGACCCACUCGACUACAUGCAGCGGAGCUGAGAACACUCUGGCUGGAAGACUGAAGGGACAAUUCAGCAGAGCCGAACCUCCCUGUUUCACCCUCAGCGUCGACAACUCGCCUCCGACUUCACCUACCACAGAUAUCGUGAUCCUCACCAAAGAAGCAGAGGAUCGCAGCAGCAGUAAUGAUCACUCCUUGGACUGGAAGCUGCUUCAGUGUCAUGGCGGACAUUUAAACACACUCUGACAUCUCCUGAACUG